Molecule: long non-coding RNA, 564 nt
Organism: Hippocampus zosterae (dwarf seahorse)
Lineage: Eukaryota; Metazoa; Chordata; Actinopteri; Syngnathiformes; Syngnathidae
Exons: 2
Source: RefSeq, a predicted model, not a curated record
UAUUUUGAUGAUGUAAUAAUACAUUAUGCAUUGCCACUUAUUUGUAUGUACUGUUGAUAAUCCUGUAAUUCGAAUAAGUCAACAUGUAAACGGGCCUGGAGGGUAACAGAGAUCACAAACAACUGAUGUCGCUGGUCCAAUCGCAAACACUGAGACAACCCGACGAUUACAUAAACAUGAAGGCUGAACAAUUUUGGAAAAAUAAUCAAAUUGCUAUUGUUUUCUUCAAUAUUGUGAUUGAUUAUUAUUUUCCCAAGGUCCUCUUCCCGUGUACUUGUUGACGAACACAAGCAGUAUUACAGCAAAAAGGAAGGUUAUCUCUGCUUCUUUCGACCUUCCGAAGCCAAGUAGAUGCAAGCAGUGUUUGGGCUGAUCACUGAGGGACUUUCAAACUUUUAACACCAACCUCUUGGUGGCGCUGUUGGGCGCAAGCUUCGUGUUGUACCAGUGCAGGCCAUCCUCGCACGCCGCCAGAAGGUGCGCGUCGGGCUUGCUGGGUGGCAGGCAGAUGUGCAGCGGAGUGCAGCUGCUCUCCAACACCAGCAACUGCCUGGAAGCGAUAAA